RNAcentral lists this transfer RNA (73 nucleotides) under Enterocloster asparagiformis. RNAcentral's name for it is "tRNA-Leu". It matches the Rfam family "tRNA". From Rfam's summary of the family: Transfer RNA (tRNA) molecules are approximately 80 nucleotides in length. Lineage: Bacteria; Bacillati; Bacillota; Clostridia; Lachnospirales; Lachnospiraceae. The record is from RNAcentral. RNAcentral also lists the same sequence under 2 other names.
AUCCGGAUGACGGAAUGGAAUACGUCCCGCACUCAGGCUGCGGGUUUUGUGGGUUCAAAUCCCACUCCGGAUA